Molecule: ribosomal RNA, 468 nt
Filed under: uncultured bacterium
Lineage: Bacteria
Description: partial 16S ribosomal RNA
Rfam family: Bacterial small subunit ribosomal RNA
Source: RNAcentral
GACGAACGCUGGCGGCGUGCUUAACACAUGCAAGUCGAACGGAAAGGCCCUGCUCUUGUGGGGUUCUCGAGUGGCGAACGGGUGAGUAACACGUGAGUAACCUGCCCUUGACUUUGGGAUAACUUCAGGAAACUGGGGCUAAUACCGGAUAGGAUCUCCUGCUGCAUGGUGGGGGUUGGAAAGUUUCGGCGGUUGGGGAUGGACUCGCGGCUUAUCAGCUUGUUGGUGUGGUAGUGGCUUACCAAGGCUUUGACGGGUAGCCGGCCUGAGAGGGUGACCGGCCACAUUGGGACUGCGAUAGGGACCAGACUCGUACGGGAGGCAGCAGUGGAGAAUAUUGCACAAUGAGCGGAAGCCUGAUGCGGAAACGCCGCGUGCGGGAUGACGGCCUUCGGGUUGUAAACCGCUUUCGCCUGUGACGAAGCGUGAGUGACGGUAAUGGGUAAAGAAGCACCGGCUAACUACGUG